GAUGAACGCUGGCGGCGUGCCUAAUACAUGCAAGUCGAGCGAACAGACGAGAAGCUUGCUUCUCUGAUGUUAGCGGCGGACGGGUGAGUAACACGUGGAUAACCUACCUAUAAGACUGGGAUAACUUCGGGAAACCGGAGCUAAUACCGGAUAAUAUUUUGAACCGCAUGGUUCAAUAGUGAAAUACGGUUUUUCUGUCACUUAUAGAUGGAUCCGCGAUGCAUUAGCUAGUUGGUAAGGUAACGGCUUACCAAGGCAACGAUGCAUAGCCGACCUGAGAGGGUGAUCGGCCACACUGGAACUGAGACACGGACAAGACUCCUACGGGAGGCAGCAGUAGGGAAUAUUACGCAAUGGGCGAAAGCAUGACGGAGCAACGCCGCGUGAGUGAUGAAGGUCUUCGGAUCGUAAAACUCUGUUAUUAGGGAAGAACAAAUGCGUAAGUAACUGUGCACAUAUUGACGGUAACUAAUCAGAAAGCCACGGCUAACUACGUG
This 497-nucleotide ribosomal RNA is filed under the name uncultured bacterium. RNAcentral describes it as "partial 16S ribosomal RNA". It matches the Rfam family "Bacterial small subunit ribosomal RNA", at positions 28 to 507 of the family's 1533-position model. The record is from RNAcentral.